UUCAUAUUUUAAAAAGAGGGAAUGAAAAGGUGUGACACAUGUAUAAAUGCUUUAAAUUGCUGAACAGUGUUUUGCAGCCUGCUGACCUGUAAAGUAAGCUGAGGCACCAAGUCUAUUUUGGUCUUUUCUGUGGAAGGCCACCUACAUAGGCUCUGGAAGAAUGAAGAAUAUGUGAAGGCUGAAAAAAGCAUCUGUUCUUUAAUACCUUGGCUCAGACCGGUGGGAUUUAGGAGAUCUUCCUGAGAGCUUGCAGAAAGCUCUUCUUAUAUUUCUGUUUUAGAAGUUACCUAUGCAAUUUUGAAUUCUCAGAGACUGCAGACCAGGUUUGUGCAAUGCGAGCUGGGUCACAAGCGUCAGCACACGUCCCUGCUGCUUCGGUGUGCGAACAGAUGUCGUCAGGCACCACGCUGGGAGAACGUCCUCUCUCAAACCCUUGCAAACUUCCCAAAUCCUCCUGAGGCUCCCUGGGGAUCUGCACCCCAGAGCUGUUGCAGAGGUUGGUUGUGCAUGUGCCCAGCAAUGCUGGGAGGCUCUAUGUAGCCAUCCUUCUCAUCCCCGUGCCGGGUGCCAUGGCCCUGAGAGCCACACUUGCCCUGGGAUUCGGGGGCGUCAGCAGGCAGCGAUGCCAGCCUGAGUGCUGGGUAAAGCCUUUGGGCAGUGCUGCCCUGAAACUGCUUUACUGCAGAAAGGGAAGAUUAUUAAGAGAACAAAAUGAUGAAUAGAGAACAGUGGAAAUUAUUUUUCCACCUGCAAGGCUCCUGUGGAUGACUCUAUACCAGAAAUUAAGACAGAAUUGGGGUAGUGACAUUUUUGUCUAUACCAGAUUUGCAGCGUACAGAUUUAUUUUUUCUCUUUCUGUUCUGAGAAGAAGACCAUCUUUUCUUUCUAGUUUUGCUGUGAUUGUUUGUUUAUUUUCCUCCUUACGCUAGAUGAAAUAACGUUUUAUUUCUGUCUCACUCUCUUUUGGGUGAGGGAGGAGAUGUAUGCAACCCUGCAAGAUUUGGGGGCAGGGAAAAGAUGGAAGAGAUCUCUCUUGGAUUUUAUUUUUGUUUCAUUUUUGUUUAAAAUAUGGUUUUCUGUUACUAUAGCUACUGGCUCUGUCAUGCUCACACACAGGUGCUUUGUCACCUCGUCUUUAGAAACAGAUUGAUCAUGGUAUCAAACCAUUGAAGCUCAGGGGCAGCGGGGAUACAGGUGAAAAACAGGAGACUGGAAAACCACGGACAGACCUGAGUCCAGCAUAGGAAGAGAAAAGACAGAUGCAGAGGAUUGGCAAGACGUCACGUUUUCCAGGCUUGUAAUGGGACGCUGGAAGAAACAGAAAAGAAGUCGGAUAUUGGGAAGCCUGUGAUGAGCAUCUCCUCUUCCCACGCAAGUGCCCAGGGCGAUGUGAUGACACACUUGAGGUGUCUGCCUUGAAACGAACCAAAUGCUGACAGUCGCAGAUGUAUAAAUAUUGAACUGAGGGCUUCUCAGAGUUGCCAGACAUACAGCAUCCUUUGCCAAAAAAGUGUGAAAAAGACCCUCGACUCUUCAUUAUAAAAAUCUUGGUUACAUUUCUGUAAAUGAUCCUGUACUGUGGCAUGCAAUUGUUCUCCUGCAUUCCUCAUGUAUUCUUCUCUUCUACAAAUAAAUUGAACACUGUGCAGUCAGAGAA
This is a long non-coding RNA of Numida meleagris (helmeted guineafowl), 1657 nucleotides long. RefSeq lists it as uncharacterized. NCBI's taxonomy places the organism in Eukaryota, Metazoa, Chordata, Aves, Galliformes, Numididae. The transcript has 2 exons. The record is from RefSeq and is a predicted model, not a curated record.